GGAAGAUACUCCUCUCUGGGAGGGGUUUUCCUGUCUUUUCGAGAGAGGGAAACAUAUCCCAAGCAGAGAGGAGGCAACCGAGUGUAACUCACAUCACAGUUGCUGCUUACAGUAUUUUUCUGAGUUCAUCUAGUCUUUAUGAAAAUUGAAGUAUCCAGAGCCUUGGAGAAUCAAGGACACAGAGGAUACAGUACCUUGACAUCUGAUGCAUCUACUUUGAGUGAUGUGCUUAACUCUGAAGACAGAGGCCUCUCUCCACCAAAAAAAAGGUAGAGCUGGAGCACCACCAACAGAAAUCAGUCUCUUCAGACUUCAAAUGAUCAAUUAUCUGUUAAAUAAAAGCAAAAACACUAGACAUGGAGGGAAUAAACUUGCUCAUUUGCUUUUA
This is a long non-coding RNA of Falco peregrinus (peregrine falcon), 388 nucleotides long. RefSeq lists it as uncharacterized. The transcript has 2 exons. Lineage: Eukaryota; Metazoa; Chordata; Aves; Falconiformes; Falconidae. The record is from RefSeq and is a predicted model, not a curated record.